GCAGCGGUAGCUCACUGGUAGAGUUCUCACCUUCUAUGUGGGAGACCUGGGUUCGAUUCCCGGCCAGUGCA
Molecule: transfer RNA, 71 nt
Filed under: Loxodonta africana (African savanna elephant)
Lineage: Eukaryota; Metazoa; Chordata; Mammalia; Proboscidea; Elephantidae
Rfam family: tRNA
About the family: Transfer RNA (tRNA) molecules are approximately 80 nucleotides in length. Their secondary structure includes four short double-helical elements and three loops (D, anti-codon, and T loops). Further hydrogen bonds mediate the characteristic L-shaped molecular structure. tRNAs have two regions of fundamental functional importance: the anti-codon, which is responsible for specific mRNA codon recognition, and the 3' end, to which the tRNAs corresponding amino acid is attached (by aminoacyl-tRNA synthetases). tRNAs cope with the degeneracy of the genetic code in two manners: having more than one tRNA (with a specific anti-codon) for a particular amino acid; and 'wobble' base-pairing, i.e. permitting non-standard base-pairing at the 3rd anti-codon position.
Source: Rfam by way of RNAcentral